GGAGUUUGAACCUGGCUCAGGAUGAACGCUGGCGGCGUGCCUAACACAUGCAAGUCGAACGGAUCCAUACUGAAACCUAGUGAUGUAUGGAUUAGUGGCGGACGGGUGAGUAACGCGUGGAUAACCUGCCGUAUACAGGGGGAUAACACUUAGAAAUAGGUGCUAAUACCGCAUAAGCGCACGGUUCCGCAUGGAACAGUGUGAAAAACUCCGGUGGUAUACGAUGGAUCCGCGUCUGAUUAGCCAGUUGGUGGGGUAACGGCCCACCAAAGCGACGAUCAGUAGCCGGCCUGAGAGGGUGAACGGCCACAUUGGGACUGAGACACGGCCCAAACUCCUACGGGAGGCAGCAGUGGGGAAUAUUGCACAAUGGGGGAAACCCUGAUGCAGCGACGCCGCGUGAGUGAAGAAGUAUUUCGGUACGUAAAGCUCUAUCAGCAGGGAAGAAAAAAAGUCCUUUGGACUUUGGACGGUACCUGACCAAGAAGCCCC
Molecule: ribosomal RNA, 492 nt
Filed under: uncultured bacterium
Lineage: Bacteria
Description: bacterial SSU rRNA
Rfam family: Bacterial small subunit ribosomal RNA
Source: RNAcentral